UACAGGGGGGGCAAGCGUUGUUCGGAAUUACUGGGCGUAAAGGGUCUGUAGGUGGCCAACUAAGUCAGACGUGAAAUCCCUCAGCUUAACUGGGGAACUGCGUCUGAUACUGGAUGGCUUGAGUGUGGGAGAGGAAUGCGGAAUUCCAGGUGUAGCGGUGAAAUGCGUAGAUAUCGGGAGGAACACCAGAGGCGAAGGCGGCGACCUGGAUAGGUACUGACACUCAACUACGAAAGCGUGGGGGAGCAAACAGG
RNAcentral lists this ribosomal RNA (254 nucleotides) under uncultured bacterium. RNAcentral's name for it is "partial 16S ribosomal RNA". It matches the Rfam family "Bacterial small subunit ribosomal RNA", at positions 524 to 776 of the family's 1533-position model. The record is from RNAcentral.